CUUUUGACCUCGGAUCAGGUAGGGAUACCCGCUGAACUUAAGCAUAUCAAUAAGCGGAGGAAAAGAAACCAACAGGGAUUGCCCUAGUAACGGCGAGUGAAGCGGCAACAGCUCAAAUUUGAAAUCUGGCUCUUUUAGAGUCCGAGUUGUAAUUUGCAGAGGGCGCUUUGGCUUUGGCAGCGGUCCAAGUUCCUUGGAACAGGACGUCACAGAGGGUGAGAAUCCCGUACGUGGUCGCUGGCUAUUGCCGUGUAAAGCCCCUUCGACGAGUCGAGUUGUUUGGGAAUGCAGCUCUAAAUGGGAGGUACAUUUCUUCUAAAGCUAAAUAUUGGCCAGAGACCGAUAGCGCACAAGUAGAGUGAUCGAAAGAUGAAAAGCACUUUGGAAAGAGAGUCAAACAGCACGUGAAAUUGUUGAAAGGGAAGCGCUUGCAGCCAGACUUGCUUACAGUUGCUCAUCCGGGUUUCUACCCGGUGCACUCUUCUGUAGGCAGGCCAGCAUCAGUUUGGGCGGUAGGAUAAAGGUCUCUGUCACGUACCUCCUUUCGGGGAGGCCUUAUAGGGGAGACGACAUACUACCAGCCUGGACUGAGGUCCGCGCAUCUGCUAGGGAUGCUGGCGUAAUGCUUAA
RNAcentral lists this ribosomal RNA (630 nucleotides) under Alternaria sp. Utah 9. RNAcentral's name for it is "eukaryotic LSU rRNA". It matches the Rfam family "Eukaryotic large subunit ribosomal RNA", at positions 1 to 641 of the family's 3401-position model. The record is from RNAcentral. Lineage: Eukaryota; Fungi; Ascomycota; Dothideomycetes; Pleosporales; Pleosporaceae.